Molecule: ribosomal RNA, 772 nt
Filed under: uncultured Bacilli bacterium
Lineage: Bacteria; Bacillati; Bacillota; Bacilli
Description: bacterial SSU rRNA
Rfam family: Bacterial small subunit ribosomal RNA
Source: RNAcentral
ACGCUGGCGGCGUGCCUAAUACAUGCAAGUCGAACGCUUCUUUCCUCCCGAGUGCUUGCACUCAACUGGAAAGAGGAGUGGCGGACGGGUGAGUAACACGUGGGUAACCUACCCAUCAGAGGGGGAUAACACUUGGAAACAGGUGCUAAUACCGCAUAACAGUUUAUGCCGCAUGGCAUAAGAGUGAAAGGCGCUUUCGGGUGUCGCUGAUGGAUGGACCCGCGGUGCAUUAGCCAGUUGGUGAGGUAACGGCUCACCAAGGCCACGAUGCAUAGCCGACCUGAGAGGGUGAUCGGCCACACUGGGACUGAGACACGGCCCAGACUCCUACGGGAGGCAGCAGUAGGGAAUCUUCGGCAAUGGACGAAAGUCUGACCGAGCAACGCCGCGUGAGUGAAGAAGGUUUUCGGAUCGUAAAACUCUGUUGUUAGAGAAGAACAAGGACGUUAGUAACUGAACGUCCCCUGACGGUAUCUAACCAGAAAGCCACGGCUAACUACGUGCCAGCAGCCGCGGUAAUACGUAGGUGGCAAGCGUUGUCCGGAUUUAUUGGGCGUAAAGCGAGCGCAGGCGGUUUCUUAAGUCUGAUGUGAAAGCCCCCGGCUCAACCGGGGAGGGUCAUUGGAAACUGGGAGACUUGAGUGCAGAAGAGGAGAGUGGAAUUCCAUGUGUAGCGGUGAAAUGCGUAGAUAUAUGGAGGAACACCAGUGGCGAAGGCGGCUCUCUGGUCUGUAACUGACGCUGAGGCUCGAAAGCGUGGGGAGCAAACAGG